RNAcentral lists this transfer RNA (71 nucleotides) under Perca fluviatilis (European perch). It matches the Rfam family "tRNA". Rfam says of the family: Transfer RNA (tRNA) molecules are approximately 80 nucleotides in length. Their secondary structure includes four short double-helical elements and three loops (D, anti-codon, and T loops). The record is from Rfam by way of RNAcentral. Lineage: Eukaryota; Metazoa; Chordata; Actinopteri; Perciformes; Percidae.
GGGGAUGUAGCUCAGUGGUAGAGCGCAUGCUUUGCAUGUAUGAGGCCCUGGGUUCAAUCCCGGCAUCUCUA